Molecule: ribosomal RNA, 633 nt
Filed under: Chrysobothris affinis
Lineage: Eukaryota; Metazoa; Arthropoda; Insecta; Coleoptera; Buprestidae
Description: eukaryotic LSU rRNA
Rfam family: Eukaryotic large subunit ribosomal RNA
Source: RNAcentral
GGACCAAGGAGUUUAGCGUAUGCGCGAGUCAUUGGGUGUUAAACCUAAAGGCGUAAUGAAAGUGAAUGCGAACUUGAUUCGUUGACAUGCGAUCCGGCGCAUCUCGGUGCGCCGGCGCAGCAUGGCCCCGUUCCUGUCGCAUGCGAUGGGGCGGAGGUAGAGCGUAUGCGCUGAGACCCGAAAGAUGGUGAACUAUGCCUGAGCAGGACGAAGCCAGAGGAAACUCUGGUGGAAGUCCGAAGCGGUUCUGACGUGCAAAUCGAUCGUCUGACUUGGGUAUAGGGGCGAAAGACUAAUCGAACCAUCUAGUAGCUGGUUCUCUCUGAAGUUUCCCCCAGGAUAGCUGGAGCGGGGAUUAUAUAGUUAUACUCGGUAAAGCGAACGAUUAGAGGAUUUGGGGACGAUAUGUUCUUAACCUAUUCUCAAACUCUAAAUGAGUAUGAAAUUCGAGUUAUCUUGAUUAGUAAACUCGUAUGUUGAAUAAAGCGCUCCAAGUGGGCCAUUUUUGGUAAGCAGAACUGGCGAUGUGGGAUGAACCGAAAGCGGCUUUAAGGUGCCUAAGUUUCCGCUCAUUAGACCCCAUAAAAGGUGUUGGUUGAUUAUGACAGCAGGUCGGUGGCCAUGGAAGUUGGA